GGACUCAAAGGGUUCUCUCUGGGGUUUUAUAAGCAAUAACUGAUUGCUGACAGAGAGGAAAAUUCUCUGGUGGAGCUGCCUGCCAUCUGUGUAGAGAACUCCAGGGAUUCAGCUUCCCCAAGUCAUCACCUCUGUUGGACAGCAUGGGUGGCUUUGUUAGUGAUGUAGCUAGCUCACUAUGUUAACCAUGUUCUUGCCACCUCAAUAAACAUUCUCCCCUUCGCUGGGCUUGAAAUCACUUAGGAGGUACAGCUCUGGGUGUGUUUGGGAGUUUUGAGAUAACCUUAAAUAAAAAGGAAGAGCCACCUGCAUGUGAUGGCUGAAACUGGAGGCCCAGCUUAGGCAGAAGCAAAAAGAAAAGCCACUGAUGCACCAUCUCCUUUUCUCUCACCAUCCCCUAUCCUGGAGAAAAUGAAGUCUUUUUACAUCUCUCCAGGAAACAGAGCAACAAACACCCCACUCAUCACUUGCUGUAACCAUCCUUCUGGACUUCUGGUCUGGGCUCGAGCACUGAGUGGAUCACCGAUGGCAGCACCCAACCUCACAAAAUCCAGAUGAAGCAGGGCUACCAGGAGCUCUAAC
Arvicanthis niloticus (Nile rat) is the source of this 582-nucleotide non-coding RNA. NCBI's taxonomy places the organism in Eukaryota, Metazoa, Chordata, Mammalia, Rodentia, Muridae. The record is from RefSeq and is a predicted model, not a curated record.